AACUCGAACGGGUUAAAAUGAUGAAAGAAUGGCUUGCGAGUUUGUUCAUAGGAACUGCUUUGGGGAAUUUCAUCACUAGAUAAGUUUGAAAAAUUAUCUCGAACAUCGAGAGAAUCUUGAUAUAAAUCUUUAUUGUCUGAACGACUUACUAAGUCAAGUAGAAUGCUAUCAUCAGGAGUUCCAUGGUUCAUUGAGGAUUCCGAUAAUGCCGAAAAAAAAAGUUCAUUACUUUCGUCAACGAACGAUCCGAGAUUUGUUUCAUUAAUUGAUUUUUCU
Schizosaccharomyces pombe (fission yeast) is the source of this 276-nucleotide non-coding RNA. NCBI's taxonomy places the organism in Eukaryota, Fungi, Ascomycota, Schizosaccharomycetes, Schizosaccharomycetales, Schizosaccharomycetaceae. The record is from the annotation of a GenBank genome assembly.